CCCUAGUACGGCGAGUGAAGCGGCAACAGCUCAAAUUUGAAAGCUGGCCUUCGGGUCCGCAUUGUAAUUUGUAGAGGAUGCUUUGGGGCAGCCGCCUGUCUAAGUUCCUUGGAACAGGACGUCAUAGAGGGUGAGAAUCCCGUAUGUGACAGGACAUGGCACCCUAUGUAAAGCUCCUUCGACGAGUCGAGUUGUUUGGGAAUGCAGCUCUAAAUGGGAGGUAAAUUUCUUCUAAAGCUAAAUACCGGCGAGAGACCGAUAGCGCACAAGUAGAGUGAUCGAAAGAUGAAAAGCACUUUGGAAAGAGAGUUAAAAAGCACGUGAAAUUGUUGAAAGGGAAGCGCUUGCAAUCAGACUUGUUUUGACUGUUCGGCCGGUCUUCUGACCGGUUUACUCAGUCUGGACAGGCCAGCAUCAGUUUUGGCGGCCGGAUAAAGGCCUAGGGAAUGUGGCUCUCGCUUCGGUGGGAGUGUUAUAGCCCUGGGUGUAAUACGGCCAGCCGGGACUGAGGUCCGCGCUUCGGCUAGGAUGCUGGCGUAAUGGUUGUAAGCGACC
Molecule: ribosomal RNA, 555 nt
Filed under: Aureobasidium thailandense
Lineage: Eukaryota; Fungi; Ascomycota; Dothideomycetes; Dothideales; Saccotheciaceae
Description: partial large subunit ribosomal RNA
Rfam family: Eukaryotic large subunit ribosomal RNA
Source: RNAcentral